GACGAACGCUGGCAGCGUGCUUAACACAUGCAAGUCGAACGGUGAAGCGCCUUCCUUUUUGGUGGGUGUGGAUGAGUGGCGAACGGGUGAGUAACACGUGAGUAACCUGCCCCCUUCUUCUGGAUAACCGCAUGAAAGUGUGGCUAAUACGGGAUAUUCUGGGUCUGUCGCAUGAUGGGUCUGGGAAAGAUAUUGUUUCGGUGGGGGAUGGGCUCGCGGCCUAUCAGCUUGUUGGUGGGGUGAUGGCCUACCAAGGCGGUGACGGGUAGCCGGCCUGAGAGGGUGGACGGUCACACUGGGACUGAGACACGGCCCAGACUCCUACGGGAGGCAGCAGUGGGGAAUAUUGCACAAUGGGCGCAAGCCUGAUGCAGCGACGCCGCGUGAGGGAUGGAGGCCUGCGGGUUGUGAACCUCUUUCGCCAGUGAAGCAGGCCUGCCUCGUUUGUGGGUGGGUUGACGGUAGCUGGAGAAGAAGCGCCGGCUAACUACGUG
This 494-nucleotide ribosomal RNA is filed under the name uncultured bacterium. RNAcentral describes it as "partial 16S ribosomal RNA". It matches the Rfam family "Bacterial small subunit ribosomal RNA", at positions 28 to 507 of the family's 1533-position model. The record is from RNAcentral.